RNAcentral lists this ribosomal RNA (429 nucleotides) under bacterium. RNAcentral describes it as "partial 16S ribosomal RNA". It matches the Rfam family "Bacterial small subunit ribosomal RNA", at positions 355 to 776 of the family's 1533-position model. The record is from RNAcentral.
UGGGGAAUCUUCCGCAAUGGACGAAAGUCUGACGGAGCAACGCCGCGUGAGUGAUGACGGCCUUCGGGUUGUAAAGCUCUGUUAAUCGGGACGAAUGGUUCUUGUGCGAAUAGUGCAAGGAUUUGACGGUACCGGAAUAGAAAGCCACGGCUAACUACGUGCCAGCAGCCGCGGUAAUACGUAGGUGGCAAGCGUUGUCCGGAAUUAUUGGGCGUAAAGCGCGCGCAGGCGGAUUGGUCAGUCUGUCUUAAAAGUUCGGGGCUUAACCCCGUGAUGGGAGGGAAACUGACAAUCUAGAGUAUCGGAGAGGAAAGUGGAAUUCCUAGUGUAGCGGUGAAAGGCGUAGAUAUUAGGAAGAACACAAGUGGCGAAGGCGACUUUCUGGACGAAAACUGACGCUGAGGCGCGAAAGCCAGGGGAGCGAACGGG